CAGCUGCCUGGCCGCCCAGGCUUUGCAGCUGAAUGCGCACUGGAGCUUUCUUCCUGCGGCCCGCUGGUGCCCGCGGUGGAAACGAGGGCUCCGGCCUCUCUUCCACCCCGUCUACCUUCUGCCUUUUGUUCUUCUUUGAAAAGCCAGGUGGCGCCAACUCUCAACCCCUGCUAGAGCUGGAGGAUUUCGUGGCUUGCUCAGAGCAAAGCAAAGAGGCGGUGGGAAGAGCACACCUCGGGAUUGGCGCUUUCUCUCAGUGCCCUCCGCCCCGUGGAAAGCUUUGCUUUCUUCUGCACGCCUCGCAGGAUGACGGCAACCCUAAAGAAAGUGAAGUGUCCUGUGUGCCACAUGGAGCUUGAGGAAAGGAAAUGAUUAAAGCUGUGAGGUUUCCUGGCUCUUCGCGGUGUUUACGAAAGGAGAGAAAGUGAUGAGGAAGAUUAACACCCUGCUUCUAAUUAUGGCCAAGUAGGAGGACUUGAAUGGAAAAUGAGAAGACAGAAACCCUGGAAAAGGGCCACCCCGCCAUCAGAAAAUUCCAGAGGGAUGUGGUCACUGCCAGCACACACUGUUAGUCUGAGUUUAAAAAUAUUUCAGGAAAUUAUAAAAGCUUGGUUUCGAUACCCUGCUCUGAGAUUCCAAAAAGAAGCAGGGGAUAUUCCUCAAAAUAAAUUUCUGAAACUA
This is a long non-coding RNA of Heterocephalus glaber (naked mole-rat), 681 nucleotides long. RefSeq lists it as uncharacterized. Lineage: Eukaryota; Metazoa; Chordata; Mammalia; Rodentia; Bathyergidae. The record is from RefSeq and is a predicted model, not a curated record.